Molecule: ribosomal RNA, 253 nt
Filed under: uncultured bacterium
Lineage: Bacteria
Description: partial 16S ribosomal RNA
Rfam family: Bacterial small subunit ribosomal RNA
Source: RNAcentral
CACGUAGGGUGCGAGCGUUGUCCGGAAUUAUUGGGCGUAAAGAGCUCGUAGGCGGUUUGUCGCGUCGGGAGUGAAAACCAGGUGCUUAACACCUGGCUUGCUUUCGAUACGGGCAGACUAGAGGUAUGCAGGGGAGAACGGAAUUCCUGGUGUAGCGGUGAAAUGCGCAGAUAUCAGGAGGAACACCGGUGGCGAAGGCGGUUCUCUGGGCAUGACCUGACGCUGAGGAGCGAAAGUGUGGGGAGCGAACAGG